RNAcentral lists this transfer RNA (68 nucleotides) under Cervus elaphus (red deer). RNAcentral's name for it is "tRNA-Asp". The record is from RNAcentral. Lineage: Eukaryota; Metazoa; Chordata; Mammalia; Artiodactyla; Cervidae.
GAGGUGUUAGUAAAAUAUUAUAUAAUUUUGUCAAGAUUAAGUUACAGGUGAAAACCCCGUACAUCUCA